AUUGCUCUGCAGGAGAUAGUUGUUUUCAUGAUUGAGUUAAAAUUGACAGGCACUUAAAACCCCAUUAGCAAUAGUAAACAUUUAAAAACUUUUAUAGAAAACAGUUCUUUGUAAAUUCUCAAUAAGGUACAUAACCAUUAUCAAAAAGCAGUAGUGAGAGGGAGGAUGUGUAUCACAGAAGUAAAAUACAUAUCUUUGCACUCACUGUUUAUUUGUGUAUUUAUUUGUUUGUUUGGAACCCCAUUAGCUUCCACAAAAUGGUCACUGUCAGGGUGAUGGUUCUACUCUAGAGAUGAAAUUUUGAACCCCAUGUGCAGGGGUUUUGGUUCCUGGGUUGCAUUCUAGCGGCAACCUCUGACCUUUUGAAAUGAGCCCAAUGUAGUCAUACUAAAAUCUGCAGAUCUUCAGGGUCCACUCCAGUCCAGCUCCAGAAGCCCCAACAAAUCUUUCUGUCCAUCCUUCUUCACAGUAAAGUUUAGCCCUUGCCUCAUGUUUGGUUAACCAAACAUAAGGGUGAGUCAGCGUUUCCAGUACGGCGACCAUUGUCAGACUGAGUCCAUAUUUAAUGCAUUCUCUGGUCCGUAAGUUAGUCAGUUUUGUUGUAAGAAAUGAGCAAGAGUGUAAUUAAUUGAUCUGCAGAUUAAUCGAUCCAGCCAUUAGCAUUCGAUAAUAAUUUAUAGUCUCAUUUCAACAUCAACAUUGUUGCAUACAAGGCCUUUAUCCCCUUUUCUCCAUCCUAAAUGAUAACAUCUUUAAUCUAAAACAGCCACUGGUUUAUGUUUCACAUUGAUUCUGUUAUGGCAUAUAUAAUAAUUCUGUUUAAUUGCCGCUCUGACAAAUAAAACAACAUUGUUGCAUUACAUUUACUGUAAGCUCAGUCAUAUUAACAUUAUCAGUUUGACAUGAUGUGAAUAUAGUAGGUCAUAUUUAUUUCUUGUUUUGUUAUUUUGUUAUUUGAGACUUAACUUGGACUUGCUGCAGCACACAGACUUGAAACUUGACUUGCCCUUCAGAGACUUGAUUUGGACUUGCAAAAAGAGACGUGUGCCUAUCUCUGAUUCAGACUAAUAUAUAUUUUUUGUACUAAGUUCUUAACAUAAACUGUGCUGUGAAGAGGUUUUUUUUUUAAUGGGUGUGUAUAUGGCUUCUGGUGCUUUUGCAGUCAGUUUCUAGUGGACGCUUGAGCAACUGCAGUCUUAGGCACUUGGUCUGGCUUUAUCCAUCAAGACUGGAGGUUGCUGCUUAGACUAGAUUUGUUUGGACUCUGCUCAUCUUGUCUUACUCAAUUGGGAAAUUUGAUAAAACCACAGACUAGCUAUACAUUAUCCCUUACUUACAGUUUAUCAAUGUGCAGAACCUCUUAAAUUACUAUGCCAAGGACUAAUUUCUGCAGAGUUUGUUCCUAAUUUAUCAGAAGAUGACUUAAUGCUGUAAGUUAAAAAAGGAGAGAUUUUGGCCUUUGAUAUUUCAUUCAGCCCUCCAUCCUGUUAUACUAAGGUAAUUGAUGCAAGAGAGCCUGAAACAUUGGUCAGCAGGCUGCAAACCAUUUGUGAAUACAGGCCUGCCAAGCCUGAAAGAAAAAAACAAUAACAAGUGAGGAUGUUCCGGGAAGACAACAGAUGGAUGUGAGAGUCUUGUGAUGGAUGGGACGGGGGCUGGAGGAGAGGUAGAGAGGUAAAAAAUUAGGUUGGAAAAAUUGAUAGAAUGGAAAGAGAAAGGAGACAGGGGAGGGAGCCGAGGAGACAGAUCGAGAAAGAGUGAGUGGUCGGUACCGGGUCCCACAAGAGAAAUUGUAAAGUAAAGCUGAAUGAGUGAGCACAGGCAGUCCAGGGACAUCUUGCAGGUUUUUCCAGGCCGGACACUUCAGAGUGCAUGUCAGGUCCCCGGGCGCCCUGGAGCCAAGGCACUUCCUGACAUAAGUAGCCUCCCAAAGAUGAACAGCAUCACCUCAGCUACAGUUAGAGGGUCGAGAAAUUGCUCCCACUGCACAUGGCCCUCCUUCGCCCUGCAUAUCAUGUGACCUGAAGAUGUUUCUCAGUCCACUCUGGCCUCUGAAAAAGACAGCUUUUACACUUCUUAACUCUUCCACUUGGUGGGACACGGAGACCGGUGCAGCACAGCAGACCUUUUUCCACAUGAGUUUACCCAUUAGGGCUGUUCUAAAAUAAAGCCCUCUUAGUCACACAUGAACUGAAGGUGAAUUAUGGAUGGGGCCUUGGUGAUGAAGUUGUGGGAUAUCUUAAUGACACCCAACACGUCUCUCCUGGAUUCCCAAGCUGCCGUAAAUUAACUAGCUCUCAUAAUUAAACUGGGGAGAGAACAAGCUCAGUCAUCAAUAAGUCAUCACUGGCAGCUUCAAUUUACUAGCCUGCACUCACUGAUUGUGUCGUCUAAAGUGAUUCGGCACGCUCCUCGGGGUGGGUGUACACUGUUCCCUAAAGCCUCCUUUCAACACAGCACAUACCUAAUAAUAAGCACUCAAUGAAUAACUUACAUUAAAACACUGUUACUGUGGAUUAACCAUAAUAGCGAGUGAUAAAAUAGUAAUCCAUCAUGUUUACACGAUAAAACUCUUUCUUUGCAUAACCUGUGGCUACAAAAGCUGUCUCAGGCCAUGUAAUGACACUGUUGCCUCCCUCAAUGCUCCAUUAAUGCUCUCAGGAGUUUCAUCAACUUCAACAACUGGAGAGGAGGAUUCUCUCCAAACACAUGAGAACAAAGGGAAAACCUCGAUUCUAGGUCCAUUUAUCCGCAUUAUAAAGCUGCAUGCAUGCUGCUGUCUUAAAUAAGUUUGCAGUGUAUACUUCAGCACCCCAUCUAACAUUCAUGUCUCCUUUUUAUGCUUUUAUCACCUUGGAUACGCCCGGCUCAGCCAACCGUGUACGCACUCCCUUAUCUGCCAGUUCCAGGAACAUCUAGUGGCCCCGCCAAAGUAAAACACAUCCUGCACUUUCGUGUCCGUGACUCCGCUUUUUACCAUUUAGUGACACACAUAUCAAGGUGGAUUAUAUGUCUGAUAGAUAACAAAUGUUGACCUGGGUGAAAGGUUUGUUUUUCCCCCCAAAGUGCAGCUUGCUGAAUAUAAAAUCUUGUGAAAUGUGCAUCACAUUAGAGCCAAAGUGUUCAAGAAUUGCUAAAAUUUUGAUAACCUUUUGGGUUUCUUCAUAAAAAUGUGCAAGUUUUCUUAUUAAUAUCAUAAAAACAUGCAGCUAAUGCUAGUAAUUCUUACAAUAAUUUCCUAAAUGAGCUCAGUCCAAUUCAUGAAAAUUCAACUCAUUCAGUUUGGACAGUUAAAGCGUGUCCUGCGAGCGUGUGCAUGAAAGGAAGCAUACGACUGGAGGCCUGACUAACAGCGGCUGCAGAGUGUGAAGAGAGUGCAGUAGUCAGGAUGAUUGAACUUGGCUGUCUUCAGGGAGGGGGAAGUACAUGUGCUAAUCCUAAUCAGGACCUGUUCCCUGCCAUGUAAUGGAGUAGGAACAACCCCGAGCUCCACGCUGGACACGCUGAGGCUACAUUAGUGAAUAAUGUUUUCCAGUGUGGGACACCGUUUCUAUUACGCUCCACAUGCGGGAGGAAGAGGAAGCUGUCACUGUGAAUUAAGCGCUGAGCUUGCCAUGCAAACAUAUCUUGUGUAAUUGGAGUAAAAAAGUGAGCGAGGGGAAGAGGGUAAAGGCUUUUUAAAAUAACACUCAGCCUCCUCUACAUCGCUAAGACGGUAUGUUUGAGACAUGAUGAAGCUUUUAGCAAACUGUCAACCUUCAGGACAAAGGAUUCUUACACUCCAUCCUCCGGAGGCUGUUUUAUUUACUCAUUCUGCGGCGGUCUGUGGCUCGCCUCAAAAAGCUUCUGCUGGUAUUUGUUCACUCUGAGCACUGCUGCAGUGUUUUUCACCCCCCCCCCCCCUCAAAAAAAAAAGAAAGAAGAAAAAACAGUCCAGUUUACCUGAUUAUAUCGACAGCUCUACUGUAAAAUCUCCUGGCAUUAGAGGUCAGAGGGACUAUGUUUUCUUAUUGUCUCACUGAAUCCACUUCCAUCUAGCAGAGAGUAAAUCUCAGAGUGGAAUCACUUUUCUGACAAUAAUCUAUAAAUUAUGCACUGCUUGUGUUUGAAUUGAGAAAGGCUUUCAUAUCUCUUCCAUUAACUCAGAUUAAGAUUUCAUACUGAUGCUGGGGAGAAUGCUAGCAAUAUCCCCGUCUCAUUUCGAUGAAAUUUUUAUUAGUGCUUUUUUCUGUAGUACACUCCUAUUGGGAUGUCUGUGAAUCUGAAGCUUGGCUUUGGACAUGAACUCCCCUCAACCUGCCUGCCAGUGGCUCUGAAGGUUUCAAUAUUUUAUGGGCUCGAGCUAACUCAGCCGUGAGAUUCCAGCUGCAGAGAUUUAACUCUAAUGUAAAAAUCCUGAACGGAUGAAAACUGGGGUGUCAUAAGUAAUACAUCUGUUCUGAGAGGGGCUGUAGUUAUCAUCCAUGAAAAAAAAGAAAAACAACUAAUAAUAAAGAAGUGAGUAAAAGAACAGAGGAAAAAAGGCAUUUAAGGAUGAACACGCUCCUCGUUUCUUCUUCUUUGUGUAUUCAAAAUGAAAGACCUAUCGCUUCAAGGCUAAAAUAUAUCAACCCUAAUCUCCCAGUCCUUCAAUUGACUCCUAAUUGUGUGCACUUUUUACUCCUUUUUGUGCAGCCAUCAAUAAAAGCAGUCCCCUCAUGUCAUGCUUCUAAAGAAAUGGGCAUCACGCCACUUACACUUUCUAGGCCAAAUCCAUUUCUUUGAGCAUCUUGCCUUUUUCUUUCUCGCUCUCCUAACAGAAUUCAAAGCAUUUGGAAAAUCUGUCUAUUCAGCAUUAGCGUCCCGGCGCAUUCUCCCCCAGAACCAACUGAGGUCAGAUGAGAUGGGUCUGAUGAACUUUCCCAUUUCUCCCAUCCCUGCAAUCUAUAGCUUUCUCCCUUGAGCCAUAUGUUGUCCAGUGUAGUCAAGACUGCUUGUAAUGGCUCUGCUAACAAUGCACUCUUUGUGCUGGAUAAGGAAGGGAAAAAGCCUGACGCCGAGGGGCAAGAAGAAGGAGAAACACUUUUAGUGCCUGCUUAUAUAUCUUUUUUUCAUUCCAUUAUACAAGUGGACUCUGCUGGAAAUAUUUGUCUUGACAGUAGUUUAGCAUCGCUCCCCACUCCACCGCCCUCA
This 5172-nucleotide long non-coding RNA is filed under the name Xyrichtys novacula (pearly razorfish). The record is from RNAcentral. Lineage: Eukaryota; Metazoa; Chordata; Actinopteri; Labriformes; Labridae.